UGAGGAAUAUUGGGCAAUGGGCGCAAGCCUGACCCAGCCAUGCCGCGUGAAGGAUGAAUGCCCUAUGGGUUGUAAACUUCUUUUGUACGGGACAAAACUCCUGGUCGUGGCCGGGAUUGAUGGUACCGUACGAAUAAGCAUCGGCUAACUCCGUGCCAGCAGCCGCGGUAAUACGGAGGAUGCAAGCGUUAUCCGGAUUCAUUGGGUUUAAAGGGUGCGUAGGCGGAAUAGCAAGUCAGCGGUGAAAGCCUGUGGCUUCACCAUAGCAAUGCCGUUGAUACUGUUAUUCUUGAGUGUAGUUGAAGUGGGCGGAAUGUGUAAUGUAGCGGUGAAAUGCUUAGAUAUUACACAGAACACCAAUUGCGAAGGCAGCUCACUAAGCUAAUACUGACGCUGAGGCACGAAAGCGUGGGGAGCAAACAG
RNAcentral lists this ribosomal RNA (423 nucleotides) under uncultured bacterium. Its description in RNAcentral is "bacterial SSU rRNA". It matches the Rfam family "Bacterial small subunit ribosomal RNA", at positions 355 to 775 of the family's 1533-position model. The record is from RNAcentral.